This 497-nucleotide ribosomal RNA is filed under the name uncultured bacterium. Its description in RNAcentral is "partial 16S ribosomal RNA". It matches the Rfam family "Bacterial small subunit ribosomal RNA", at positions 28 to 507 of the family's 1533-position model. The record is from RNAcentral.
GACGAACGCUGGCGGCGUGCCUAAUACAUGCAAGUUGAGCGCUGAAGGAUGGUACUUGUACUAACUGGAUGAGCAGCGAACGGGUGAGUAAGGCGUGGGGAAUCUGCUUUUGAGCGGGGGACAAUAUUUGGAAAAGAAUGCUAAUAACGCAUAAAAACAUUAAACACAAGAAUUAAGUUUGAAAGAUACAAUUGCAUAACUAAAAGAUGAACCCGCGUUGUAUUAGCUAGUUGGUGAGGUAAAGGCUCACCAAGGCGAUGAUACAUAGCCGAACUGGGAGGGUGAUCGGCCACAUUGGGACUGAGACACGGCCCAAACUCCUUCGGGAGGCAGCAGUAGGGAAUCUUCGGCAAUGGACGACAGUCUGACCGAACAACGCCGCGUGAGUGAAGAAGGUUUUCGGAUCGUAAAACUCUGUUGGUAGGGAAGAACGUUGGUGAGGUUGGAAAGCUCAUCAAGUGACGGUAACUACCCAGAAAGGGACGGCUAACUACGUG